This 269-nucleotide ribosomal RNA is filed under the name uncultured prokaryote. RNAcentral's name for it is "partial 16S ribosomal RNA". It matches the Rfam family "Bacterial small subunit ribosomal RNA", at positions 524 to 792 of the family's 1533-position model. The record is from RNAcentral.
UACGAAGGUGGCAAGCGUUGUUCGGAAUCACUGGGCUUAAAGCGCGCGCAGGCGGAAAUACAGGUGUCAUGUGAAAGCCCUCGGCUUAACCGAGGAAUUGCGCGGCAAACGGUAUUUCUUGAGGCAAGUAGGGGUACAUGGAACUCUUGGUGGAGCGGUGGAAUGCGUAGAUAUCAAGAGGAACGCCAAAGGUGAAGACAGUGUACUGGGCUUGUCCUGACGCUGAGGUGCGAAAGCGUGGGGAGCGAACGGGAUUAGAUACCCCCGUA